GUCUAUGGCCACCCUGAACAUGCCCAAUAUUGUCUGAUCUCGGAAGCUAAGCAGGGUCGGGCCUGGUUAGUACUUGGAUGGGAGACCAAAAAUACCAAGUGCUGUAGGUG
Molecule: ribosomal RNA, 110 nt
Filed under: Pteropus alecto (black flying fox)
Lineage: Eukaryota; Metazoa; Chordata; Mammalia; Chiroptera; Pteropodidae
Source: RNAcentral